RNAcentral lists this long non-coding RNA (220 nucleotides) under Lathyrus oleraceus (garden pea). RNAcentral's name for it is "Pisum sativum (pea) long non-coding RNA (PSAT_LNC017099)". Lineage: Eukaryota; Viridiplantae; Streptophyta; Magnoliopsida; Fabales; Fabaceae. The record is from RNAcentral.
ACGAAUCCACCACGGUCGUCACACGGCAUGCAUGACCGUUACGCUUAGCUGACCAUUGCAGACGACCGUUACAUGCCCGUUGUGCGUAACGACCGUCACACCCCUGUGACGACCGUCACGAAAACCAAAGAGCACGCCUAUAAAUAUAGGCACUCUUCCUCUCUUCUUCCUCAUCAAUCAUCCUACUCACAUCACUCUUCUCUCCAUUAUUCAAUUCUUU